GCGUCCGGCCCACACGUCGCUGCGUCAAGAUAUCAUUAUCCACCACAUGCACCAGCACAACCCGCCGCCAAUUGGCAGCGGCCGGGCGACGAUGGGCAGGUGACCGCGCGCGCACGCGGGGCAGGCUGCUGCCCACGUAUGUGCUUACAUGCCCGCCGGCACGGCGGCGCCUGCGUUCGGGCCCAUGCUCCAGGUGGUCAUCCCGUCCCGGCUGUACACCUCCA
This 224-nucleotide long non-coding RNA is filed under the name Chlamydomonas reinhardtii. Its description in RNAcentral is "long non-coding RNA (CREI_LNC000259)". The record is from RNAcentral. Lineage: Eukaryota; Viridiplantae; Chlorophyta; Chlorophyceae; Chlamydomonadales; Chlamydomonadaceae.